Triticum aestivum (bread wheat) is the source of this 135-nucleotide non-coding RNA. Lineage: Eukaryota; Viridiplantae; Streptophyta; Magnoliopsida; Poales; Poaceae. The record is from Rfam.
CAUAUACUCCCUCCGUUCCAAAUUAGUUGACUUGAAUUUGUCUAAACACAGAUGUAUCUAUACUUGUUUAGUGUCUACAUAUAUCCGUAUCUAGAUAAAUAUGGGUCAAGUAAUUUGAAACGGAGGGAAUAUAUA